CAACCACCUCCCACAAUUUCAG
This 22-nucleotide microRNA is filed under the name Murid gammaherpesvirus 4 (Murine herpesvirus 68). RNAcentral describes it as "mature star microRNA mghv-mir-M1-6*". The record is from RNAcentral. Lineage: Duplodnaviria; Heunggongvirae; Peploviricota; Herviviricetes; Herpesvirales; Orthoherpesviridae.